CCUACGGGAGGCAGCAGUGGGGAAUAUUGGGCAAUGGACGCAAGUCUGACCCAGCAACGCCGCGUGAAGGAAGAAGGCUUUCGGGUUGUAAACCUCUUUUAAUAGGGAAGACCAGAGGACGGUACCUCUUGAAUAAGCCACGGCUAACUACGUGCCAGCAGCCGCGGUAAUACGUAGGUGGCAAGCGUUGUCCGGAAUUACUGGGUGUAAAGGGCGUGCAGCCGGGGAUGCAAGUCAGAUGUGAAAUCUGCGGGCUCAACUCGAGAACUGCAUUUGAAACUGCUGGCCUUGAGUGUAGGAGAGGUAAUCGGAAUGCCUGGUGUAGCGGUGAAAUGCGUAGAUAUUAGGAAGAACACCAGUGGCGAAGGCGGAUUACUGGACGACAACUGACGGUGAGGCGCGAAAGCGUGGGGAGCAAACAGGAUUAGAUACCCCUGUAGUC
Molecule: ribosomal RNA, 442 nt
Filed under: uncultured bacterium
Lineage: Bacteria
Description: partial 16S ribosomal RNA
Rfam family: Bacterial small subunit ribosomal RNA
Source: RNAcentral